Molecule: non-coding RNA, 215 nt
Organism: Theobroma cacao (cacao)
Lineage: Eukaryota; Viridiplantae; Streptophyta; Magnoliopsida; Malvales; Malvaceae
Source: RefSeq, a predicted model, not a curated record
CCGGCCAAGGCAAGAACGAAAGGGAAAAAGCAUAGAACAAACCCUAGAGAAGAAAAUCAAGAGAAAAUUCAUUGAAUUUCAAGGAAUUAAGCAAGUAAAGGUGGUGAAACUUCCAAUAAGGGUAAGGAAAUUGUACCCGAAGAUCGGGACUAAGAGUACUUCGACUCUCGAUAUACUUACUGUAGUAGGCGGGUUUUCGUGGACCAGCCUAUUAG